GAACUAAAACUAGCCCACUACUUUAUUUAACCCAAUUAUCAAAAUAAAAUAAAACAAAACAUUUACUUAAUGUCUUAAAGUAUAGGAGAUAGAAAUUUUAACUUGGCGCUAUAGAGAGAGUACCGUAAGGGAACGAUGAAAGAAGCUAUUCAAAGUAUAAGAAAGCAAAGAUUACCCCUUGUACCUUUUGCAUAAUGAGUUAACUAGUAUAAAGCUUAACAAAACGAAUUUCAGCUAAGCUACCCGAAACCAGACGAGCUACCUAUGAACAGUUUAUUAAGAACCAACUCAUCUAUGUAGCAAAAUAGUGAGAAGAUUUAUAGGUAGAGGUGACACGCCCAACGAGCCUGGUGAUAGCUGGUUGUCCAGGAAAUGAAUUUAAGUUCAGCUUUAAAUAUACUAAAAACCAAACAAAUUUCACUGUAUUUUUAAAAGUUAGUCUAAAAAGGUACAGCCUUUUAGAAAUGGAUACAACCUUGACUAGAGAGUAAAAUCUAACAACACCAUAGUAGGCCCAAAAGCAGCCACCAAUUAAGAAAGCGUUAAAGCUCAACAAUAAAAACAAUAUUAAUUCCACUAGUAAAUAAUCAACUCCUAGCUCAAUACUGGACCAAUCUAUUAAAAAAUAGAAGCAAUAAUGUUAACAUGAGUAACAAGAAGUAUCUUCUCCUUGCAUAAGCUUAAGUCAGUAUCUGAUAAUAUUCUGACUAUUAACAGCAAAUAAUAUUAACCUAACAAUAAAUAAUUUAUUAGCCAUACUGUUAACCCAACACAGGAAUGCACUCAAGGAAAGAUUAAAAGAAGUAAAAGGAACUCGGCAAACACGAACCCCGCCUGUUUACCAAAAACAUCACCUCCUGCAUUUCCAAUAUUGGAGGCACUGCCUGCCCAGUGACAAUCGUUAAACGGCCGCGGUAUCCUGACCGUGCAAAGGUAGCAUAAUCAUUUGUUCUCUAAAUAAGGACUUGUAUGAAUGGCCACACGAGGGUUCUACUGUCUCUUACUUCCAAUCAGUGAAAUUGACCUUUCCGUGAAGAGGCGGAAAUAAACUAAUAAGACGAGAAGACCCUAUGGAGCUUUAACUAACUAGUCUAAGGAAAAUAAAUAUAACCAUCAAGGGAUAACAACACUCUUAAUAGACUAGCAGUUUUGGUUGGGGUGACCUCGGAGAACAAAAAAUCCUCCGAACGAUUUUAAAGACUAGACUAACAAGUCAAAUCACACUAUCGCUUAUUGAUCCAAAGAAAUUUGAUCAACGGAACAAGUUACCCUAGGGAUAACAGCGCAAUCCUAUUCAAGAGUCCAUAUCGACAAUAGGGUUUACGACCUCGAUGUUGGAUCAGGACACCCAGAUGGUGCAACCGCUAUCAAAGGUUCGUUUGUUCAACGAUUAAAGUCCUACGUGAUCUGAGUUCAGACCGGAGUAAUCCAGGUCGGUUUCUAUCUAUUAUACAUUUCUCCCAGUACGAAAGGACAAGAGAAAUAAGGCCAACUUCAACCAAGCGCCUUAAAUCAAUUAAUGAUUUCAUCUUAAUUAACUCCGUAAACAAGUCACACCCUAGACAAGGGUCA
This 1572-nucleotide ribosomal RNA is filed under the name Moschus cupreus (Kashmir muskdeer). RNAcentral's name for it is "16S ribosomal RNA". It matches the Rfam family "Bacterial large subunit ribosomal RNA". The record is from RNAcentral. Lineage: Eukaryota; Metazoa; Chordata; Mammalia; Artiodactyla; Moschidae.